RNAcentral lists this ribosomal RNA (728 nucleotides) under uncultured bacterium. RNAcentral describes it as "bacterial SSU rRNA". It matches the Rfam family "Bacterial small subunit ribosomal RNA", at positions 772 to 1500 of the family's 1533-position model. The record is from RNAcentral.
ACAGGAUUAGAUACCCUGGUAGUCCACGCCGUAAACGAUGUCGACUUGGAGGCUGUUCCCUUGAGGAGUGGCUUCCGGAGCUAACGCGUUAAGUCGACCGCCUGGGGAGUACGGCCGCAAGGUUAAAACUCAAAUGAAUUGACGGGGGCCCGCACAAGCGGUGGAGCAUGUGGUUUAAUUCGAUGCAACGCGAAGAACCUUACCUACUCUUGACAUCCAGAGAACUUUCCAGAGAUGGAUUGGUGCCUUCGGGAACUCUGAGACAGGUGCUGCAUGGCUGUCGUCAGCUCGUGUUGUGAAAUGUUGGGUUAAGUCCCGCAACGGGCGCAACCCUUAUCCUUUGUUGCCAGCGAUUCGGUCGGUAACUCAAAGGAGACUGCCGGUGAUAAACCGGAGGAAGGUGGGGAUGACGUCAAAUCAUCAUGGCCCUUACGAGUAGGGCUACACACGUGCUACAAUGGCGCAUACAAAGAGAAGCGACCUCGCGAGAGCAAGCGGACCUCAUAAAGUGCGUCGUAGUCCGGAUCGGAGUCUGCAACUCGACUCCGUGAAGUCGGAAUCGCUAGUAAUCGUGGAUCAGAAUGCCACGGUGAAUACGUUCCCGGGCCUUGUACACACCGCCCGUCACACCAUGGGAGUGGGUUGCAAAAGAAGUAGGUAGCUUAACCUUCGGGAGGGCGCUUACCACUUUGUGAUUCAUGACUGGGGUGAAGUCGUAACAAGGUACC